UGCUAUGUGUCUGACUUUUGCGUGCAAAUUCUUCGUUUGUUCAUCAUCAAUAUGGUCAAGAAGUUCAUGCAGAGAAUCAACCUUCUCGUAGAGUAAAUUCAAACUUUCCACAUGAGUGUCCAAUUGAUCUAAGUUUGAUAGCAAAAGCUGAAGCUGUUCUAUUGUUCCCAUUAGUGAAGUCAAUGCAACAUAUGCAGCCAUCUCUCUGUACUUCUGCAGUAAAGGAAUGAAUUAUUGGACUAUGUUUUAUCAAUUGACAUGUUUCACAUAGUCUCAGAGAAGUCAAUGCAACGUAUGCAGCCAUCUCUCUCUGUACUUCUGCAGUAAAGGACCUUCAGAUUAGUGAAUGAAUCAAUUUGGACUAGGGAGACACUUAAAAUGACAGAUAUGGCAAACACUAACAUUGAAUUAUUGUAUCGCAUGCAAUAAAAAUUGACAUUAUUUUGAGAAUUGACGUG
RNAcentral lists this long non-coding RNA (458 nucleotides) under Nicotiana benthamiana. RNAcentral describes it as "long non-coding RNA (NBEN_LNC010964)". The record is from RNAcentral. Lineage: Eukaryota; Viridiplantae; Streptophyta; Magnoliopsida; Solanales; Solanaceae.